Molecule: ribosomal RNA, 619 nt
Filed under: Echinostoma caproni
Lineage: Eukaryota; Metazoa; Platyhelminthes; Trematoda; Plagiorchiida; Echinostomatidae
Description: eukaryotic LSU rRNA
Rfam family: Eukaryotic large subunit ribosomal RNA
Source: RNAcentral
ACGUGAUUACCCGCUGAACUUAAGCCAUAUCACUAAGCGGAGGAAAAGAAACUAACAAGGAUUCCCUUAGUAACGGCGAGUGAACAGGGAUGAGCCCAGCACCGAAGCCUGUGGCCGUUUGGCCCCUAGGCAAUGUGGUGUUCAGGUCAGCUCGCGGGGAUACUGCUCCACCCUAAGUCCUAUAAUGAGUAAGGUUACUCGGACGUGGCCCAUAGAGGGUGAAAGGCCCGUGGGGGUGGAGACUCAGUUUGGCCAGUAUCUUCCUGAGCAGACCUUGGAGUCGGGUUGUUUGUGAAUGCAGCCCAAAGUGGGUGGUAAACUCCAUCCAAGGCUAAAUACUUGCACGAGUCCGAUAGCGAACAAGUACCGUGAGGGAAAGUUGAAAAGUACUUUGAAGAGAGAGUAAACAGUGCGUGAAACCGCUCAGAGGUAAACGGGUGGAGUUGAACUGCAAGCUCCGAGGAUUCAGCUGGUGAGAUUGGCAUGAGCUUGGUCAUGUGGGUUGUGUGUUCGGGUCUGCUUAGCUGCAGGUCCUCGCCUUUGGUGGGGAUGCGCGUAUCGCUUAUCAAGCGUUGUGCGCCCGGCCUUCUCGAGCCUGCUUGUCAGUGCACUUUCUCAG